AUCAACUUUCGAUGGUAGGAUAGAGGUUACCAUGGUGGUAACGGGUAACGGGGUGUUAGGGCACGACACCGGAGAGGGAGCCUGAGAAACGGCUACCACAUCCAAGGAUGGCAGCAGGCGCGCAAAUUACCCAAUCCCGACACGGGGAGGUAGUGACAAUAAAUAACAAUACGGGGUUCUUUUGGAUCUCGUAAUUGGAAUGAGUACAAUUUAAAUCUCUUAACGAGGAACAAUUGGAGGGCAAGUCUGGUGCCAGCAGCCGCGGUAAUUCCAGCUCCAAUAGCGUAUAUUAAAGUUGUUGCAGUUAAAAAGCUCGUAGUUGAAUUUCGGGGUUAGUAGGUUGGUCAUGCCUCUGGUAUGUACUGGUCUCACUGAUUCCUCCUUCCUGAUGAACCGUAAUGCCAUUAAUUUGGUGUUGCGGGGAAUUUGGACUGUUACUUUGAAAAAAUUAGAGUGUUUAAAGCAAGCUAACGCUUGAAUACAUUAGCAUGGAAUAAUGAAAUAGGACGUUCGAUCCUAUUUUGUUGGUUUCUAGGAUUGACGUAAUGAUUAAUAGGGAUAGUUGGGGGCAUUAGUAUUCAAUUGUCAGAGGUGAAAUUCUUGGAUUUAUUGAAGACUAACUACUGCGAAAGCAUUUGCCAAGGAUGUUUUCAUUAAUCAAGAACGAAAGUUAGGGGAUCGAAGACGAUCAGAUACCGUCGUAGUCUUAACCAUAAACUAUGCCGACUAGGGAUCGGAUGAUGUUAAUUUUUUAAUGACUCAUUCGGCGCCUUACGGGAAACCAAAGUGUUUGGGUUC
This 798-nucleotide ribosomal RNA is filed under the name uncultured Glomus. RNAcentral's name for it is "SSU rRNA". It matches the Rfam family "Eukaryotic small subunit ribosomal RNA", at positions 314 to 1114 of the family's 1831-position model. The record is from RNAcentral. Lineage: Eukaryota; Fungi; Glomeromycota; Glomeromycetes; Glomerales; Glomeraceae.